RNAcentral lists this ribosomal RNA (382 nucleotides) under uncultured bacterium. Its description in RNAcentral is "bacterial SSU rRNA". It matches the Rfam family "Bacterial small subunit ribosomal RNA", at positions 28 to 412 of the family's 1533-position model. The record is from RNAcentral.
GACGAACGCUGGCGGCGUGCUUAACACAUGCAAGUCGAGCGGUAAGGCCCUUUCGGGGGUACACGAGCGGCGAACGGGUGAGUAACACGUGGGUGACCUGCCCUCAGCUCUGGGAUAAGCCUGGGAAACCGGGUCUAAUACUGGACAUGACUCCAUGACGCAUGUUGUGGGGUGGAAAGCCUUGUGCGGCUGAGGAUGGGCCCGCGGCCUAUCAGCUUGUUGGUGGGGUGANGGCCUACCAAGGCGACGACGGGUAGCCGGCCUGAGAGGGCGACCGGCCACACUGGGACUGAGACACGGCCCAGACUCCUACGGGAGGCAGCAGUGGGGAAUCUUGCGCAAUGGGCGAAAGCCUGACGCAGCAACGCCGCGUGGGGAUGAA